GGGCAGCGUUCUGGGAGGUCACCUACGACGUGUGUGCCCUCUCUUUACACCUGAAUCCCCUGUUGAACCUCAUGAUCCAGACAACAGAGGGAGAACUCAGAAGUUGUCCAGAAAGGAGCCAUUUUUCCAAGAGACACAUGAUUUUGUGCGGGUUGAGUUCCUAGUUUUAGUGCCAGAAAAACAAAAAUUUUUAAAGGUGAAGACUCACCUUGCUGACGUGAGAUUUUCCUUGUACUAAAAGUCCUGAUCUUCAUUCUUUUAUGGUUUGGCAGGGCUGAUCUUACCGUUAGAGGAAAGAGUGUCUCAUGGUUGCAGGAGCUGAGCCAAAAACUCCACUGACCAAACCCAACACUGCUCUUCCCCAGGCACGAUGCCUGCAUUCCACGUUUGCAGAGAGUUCUCACUGUGGGUUCCACUGAUGAGUCUAGGAGCGCCCUGUUGAAAUUCAAAGUUAUCAAGUGGGGUGGGCGUGGGGAAGGAAGAGGGCAUCAAACAAUUCUCAGACAUCACUACUUGAGACAUUAGGUUAACAGAUAAUAUCCUAGAAUUUAUCUGCCAGGGUUCUAAGGUGUUAACCUCAGAACCCGUAGCUUUACUGGGAUAGGGAGCACAGAGAGGAGUUACAGAAGGCUUGUGUCAGAGGAUGCAUCUUGAUCAGAUGACAUAUUCCAUCAGGGACACCAGAACCUUUGAGGACAUCAGAGUCAGAGCUGUGUCCAUGAUGACUCAGUGGACUCAGCAGCAUGGCAUGCAUGGUGGGACUCCUCAUGGUCACCCUGUGAAACUAGAAGAGACAUGGUCUAGAGCACUGGAAGUUCAGCUCCAGGAGGGCGGGGCUUUUUCCAGUUUGUUCGCCGCUCUGCCUGCAACACCAGGAACAAGGCUUAGCGCAUAUUAUUCAGGAUUUUGGUUGACUUUAUCAGGGAUCUUAUUUAAAGUAUUCAAAAUAGACAAAAUAAAGUCGUCUGUAGCAAGUACAAUCCAUCACGAUGCGAGUAUUCAGGCAUCUUGAAGAAUGCAGUCCCAGAGACGGAGUCCAGCUAUUACUGACUCACAGAGCACCUGCUGCUCAUUCCACAGCUGUCCCGUGCCCUUGGUGUUACUGACCUCCUUGUUUGCCAUUCUUCUCCAAGACUUGAAAAGAAUGAGACUAUUUUCAUACUUGUUUCCUUAGACGAGGAAAAGGGGAUCAGCUACGCAUAUGUGAUGGGAGGUGACUGGAAAAAGAUGGCGAAAACAACUCUCUAAUCAGAUGAUCUUUGAAUGACUCAAAACAGACCAUGAUUUAAUGAAAUGGAAUGGUGACAACCAAGGUGAAACAGAGCUUAGGAAUGUUGUGUCCUCCUCUUGUCUUCUUGAAAUGCUUUUCCUUUGGGCCACCCAACUUUUCCACAUGUUAAGCAUUACAGUCACAUACAUUUGUGAGAUUGCAUUACACCACCCUCAGUUCCUGUGUAAAUGCUAAUUCUACAGCAUUAUGGAUAGACUUUCUAAUAGAGAACUUCUGAACACUUACUGUUUGUUCCACAUCUCAUCAGCCCCGAAUCUAGAUGGCCUCCUUUGCUUCUCAACAAUUUAUUGUGCUACCAUAAUCUCUUGUAUCAACCAAAAGUUAUUGAGCAUAGUGUUUAAGAAUGCACACUUGGGCCCCAGACCUAUGUUGAAAUCCAUACUCUAUCAUUUAAGAGCCGUGUGGCCUUGGGCAAAAAGCAAACCACACUUUCUUCAUGUGUUAAGUGGGAAUAAUUAUGGUGUAAUUCAUCAGAUUUGGAGGAAGUUAAAGUAAUAUAUAAAAUGCUAAGCUCAUGACUUAAUACAAAACAGGUGUCUGAUAAAUGCAGACAGUUUCUUUUCUGAAUCCCUCUUCUUUCUAUGAUAGUUGCUAUAACAGUGCAUAAAAUGUUUGCCAAUGCUUUGACCUUGACUAUUCUUUACCAGUCAUGGGGAUAGAGGAAUCUUCAUGUUUCCCAGGGAAUUUAGAGCAGUGUUUUGAGAAGU
Molecule: long non-coding RNA, 1998 nt
Organism: Equus caballus (horse)
Lineage: Eukaryota; Metazoa; Chordata; Mammalia; Perissodactyla; Equidae
Source: Ensembl